UCUAAUAUGGCAGAAUAGUGCAAUGGAUUUAAGCUCCAUAUAUAAAGGUUCCUCCCUUUUGUUAGAA
This 67-nucleotide transfer RNA is filed under the name Perlesta teaysia. RNAcentral describes it as "tRNA-Leu". It matches the Rfam family "tRNA". From Rfam's summary of the family: Transfer RNA (tRNA) molecules are approximately 80 nucleotides in length. Their secondary structure includes four short double-helical elements and three loops (D, anti-codon, and T loops). Lineage: Eukaryota; Metazoa; Arthropoda; Insecta; Plecoptera; Perlidae. The record is from RNAcentral.